Molecule: small nuclear RNA, 101 nt
Filed under: Spermophilus dauricus (Daurian ground squirrel)
Lineage: Eukaryota; Metazoa; Chordata; Mammalia; Rodentia; Sciuridae
Source: RNAcentral
UCAAAAAUAUGGAACGUUCCAAAAUUGGAACGAUACAGAGAAGAUUAGCAUGGCCCCUGCGAAAGGAUGACACGCAAAUUCGUGAAGCGUUCCAUAUAUCU